This 253-nucleotide ribosomal RNA is filed under the name uncultured bacterium. RNAcentral describes it as "partial 16S ribosomal RNA". It matches the Rfam family "Bacterial small subunit ribosomal RNA", at positions 524 to 776 of the family's 1533-position model. The record is from RNAcentral.
UACGUAGGGUGCGAGCGUUAAUCGGAAUUACUGGGCGUAAAGCGUGCGUAGACGGUAGCGUAAGUCGGGUGUGAAAGCCCUGGGCUCAACCUGGGAAUUGCAUUCGAGACUGCUCUGCUAGGGUGCGGAAGAGGGGAGCGGAAUUUCCGGUGUAGCGGUGAAAUGCGUAGAUAUCGGAAGGAACACCAGUGGCGAAAGCGGCUCCCUGGUCCAGCACCGACGUUCAGGCACGAAAGCGUGGGGAGCAAACAGG